CAGCCGCCGCGGUAAAACGAGGGGUGCAAGCGUUAUUCGGAUUGAUUGGGUGUAAAGGGUGUGCAGACGGCUUAUUAAGUCACUUGUUAAAUUCUUCGGCCUAACUGAAGGUCUGCAAGUGAUACUGAUGAGCUAGAGGGUGGAAGAGAGAAGUGGAAUUCUCGGAGUAGCGGUAAAAUGCGUAGAUCUCGAGAGGAACACCAAUGGCGAAGGCGACUCUCUGGUCUGUAACUGACGCUGAGGAGCGAAAGCGUGGGGAGCGAACAGGAUUAGAUACCCCAGUAGUCCCUGUCUCUUAUAU
This 301-nucleotide ribosomal RNA is filed under the name uncultured bacterium. RNAcentral's name for it is "partial 16S ribosomal RNA". It matches the Rfam family "Bacterial small subunit ribosomal RNA", at positions 509 to 809 of the family's 1533-position model. The record is from RNAcentral.